RNAcentral lists this long non-coding RNA (2410 nucleotides) under Triticum aestivum (bread wheat). RNAcentral's name for it is "long non-coding RNA (TAES_LNC022920)". The record is from RNAcentral. Lineage: Eukaryota; Viridiplantae; Streptophyta; Magnoliopsida; Poales; Poaceae.
GACAGCUAAAGGAAACCAUUCAGCAGGUAAGAAUGAGAUAGACUUUUCAGUGCCAGGCAACCAUUGCGCUGUAGAGAAGUGGAACAACAUUCAUGGUACUGCUAUUGUUAAUCGAAAGAACUUUCUUUUGUUAACAUGGUACCCACUAACGUGUGCAUAUGCAUUUUUCUCCUGUAGUCCUAGAGGGAUAAAGACACAUAUAAUUACGAUGGAGGUGACAGGCCUGAAAAUGUGAGAAUUGAAGCAAUACAUUCCCUUGUAUAUAUGUUUUCUCUUUUGAAAUAUCUCAAUAGUUUUCCAAUUUGUUUCCUGUAAAUCUCAUAUUUUAAUACUCCUUAGACCUUAGUAAUGCAUAGGUGUAAUAUUUGUUGAUAUUGCAAUUUUGAAGGAUCUGCUUUUCUUGUAUAGAUCUAUUUUUUUAAUCUUGAAGGCAGUACGAGAGGCCCUAAUGACAUAUAUACAGUACUAACAAGAAUAUGGGGGCUUUCAUAACUUGAGGUAGCUUCCAUCUUCUUGUUGUGUAUUUAUUUUUCUUAGAUGAAAAUCUUACACCAAGAAGUGGGGUCUCUCAGAAAAUUAUCAUUGUUAUUCUCCUUUUCAUUGUUUGGGCUUUUUUUCUCAAUAUAUGCUUCUACAAAAAAAAUGUAGGUCGGCCCCAUGUUGCCACCGUGGCCGGUGACUCGGGUGGAUCCAAUCCCCCCGGCCUCCAGGGUCAUUGUGCCCUCUCUCCAUUACCUCCUUCGUCGCUGGAGGAUGCUGACGGGCUAAGCCUAGGGGGUCGACGAUGAUGGCGGAGGCUCCUGCCUUCACUGCAUCGGUGGAUCACGCGGAAUCUCUGGGCACAUGGAGCAUUGCCAAAACCAGCACCAGGGUGGCGCUCGGCUGACUCCCGACGUUGGUUCCACACAAACACAUGGGGAGGGGAACUAUAUGUUACAAUCUGAAAAUGGCUAAGGAGACAUCAGAUCUACCUUCUUGGCUCGGAGGGUGUCAUGGGUGGCGCACAACUCCCCCCUAUCGACAGAAACACAUGGGGAGGGGAACAGAACAGAGAGCGGGGCGGUUGGCGGGGGACUCCUCGGCGGUCCGUGGGGAAAUACAAUGUGAAGAAGAGAGUGCGACAUGACGAAGGUGAGAUGGGCGUUAUCUGGUUUCAAUGGAGAGGGCUCCAGUGAAAAAUGUCCCGUUAUGGCGGGAAACGAGUGGGGAGGUGAGGGUUCGGCAGGGAAAGAGAAGGGUGCGUCGUGGGUGUGGUUUUUUUUAAUUUGUUCGGCGCGCACUUGUUAGAGAUAACAUGGCCAAUAGUCUGGAUAACCAUAUUUCUUCCUCACAUAUGGAUAUGCAUGGAUUUGAAGAUACCCUAUUCUCGAGACGGUUGAAUUUUGGGGAUCCUGUUAGAUGUUCGUUUGAUGUACGUUCACACUCGAACGUAGGAGGGAGAAAUGAGCUUCCACUUUAGAAUUUAAUUAUUUUUUUGAUUUAUUUAUAUGCAUUGUAGUCCGUAGCAACGCACGGGCAUUCUACUGGACUGACAUAAAGUCAGUGAGUUCAAAAUUUCCAUGUUUAGUUUUGACUGAUGUUAUGGUUCUUCAUUGAGUUUUGUUCCAGGUAUUUACCUAGAUCCUUGAAAUGCUAUUCGUAUUGGCCUGAAUGCAGUUGAAUUCUGAAUCAUAAACAAGCUGGGAGAUUUGUCUUCCACAUAGUAGGUGCUGAUGCUUAUGAUUUUCUUCAAAAAAGAUAUGGGAAAGGCUAACCCAAUAUUUUAGUUUUCAUUAUGAGGACCAUGUACAUAAUCGACCAUAUAGUUCAAAAAAGAUCUAUUGGUGAAGGUUUGUUUGAGUUCCACUAUUUCAGUUCACACAUGUACAUGUUCUGUAUUUUUUGCAGUUUUUAGUGCAUGCUCGGAGAACAAGAUAAGAGGAGAGGCUUGAAUCUUGAGAUGACAAGGGUAGUCACCUGCUGCGACUAAAGGUUCAGUUUCAUACUUCUGAUGAUAUUGUUCGGAUGAUUGCCCUUGUACUAUUCUUUUUAGUACGUACUAAAAUAUCUUGUUGUACGAAAAUCUGAUUUCUACUAAAACUUUGUCAAGUGGCUCAUUUUUCUUGUACUAAUAUCUGAAUUUUUUUACUGAUUACUGAAAUGUACCUUGUUACUAAAACUUCAUAGGAAGGAGGUCAAUGAAGCAAAAGGCACGAAAAGGAAGGAGCAGCGCCACAGGGACGAUGUUGUCGGCAGCGCUUUGGAAGGAUUCGCUCCAGAGAAGUUACGGUAGUCGGCCAUCGCCCAGGGGAAGCGGGGAGGAUGUCGUUCGAAACGCCUGGGUCUAGAGGAGUGUGUCCAGGUGGUGGCCGAGGAUGGCGACGAGCAAUUGGGUUGAGCAUUUGUCAACGUGAUGGUGUCGUUGCUAAAG